Molecule: ribosomal RNA, 255 nt
Filed under: uncultured bacterium
Lineage: Bacteria
Description: partial 16S ribosomal RNA
Rfam family: Bacterial small subunit ribosomal RNA
Source: RNAcentral
CGGACGGGUGAGUAACGCGUGGGGAACCUGCCCUGUACAGGGGGAUAACACUUAGAAAUAGGUGCUAAUACCGCAUAAGCGCACAGUAUCGCAUGAUACAGUGUGAAAAACUCCGGUGGUACAGGAUGGACCCGCGUCUGAUUAGCUGGUUGGCGGGGUAACGGCCCACCAAGGCGACGAUCAGUAGCCGGCCUGAGAGGGCGGACGGCCACACUGGGACUGAGACACGGCCCAGACUCCUACGGAAGGCAGCAG